Molecule: ribosomal RNA, 736 nt
Filed under: uncultured Hebeloma
Lineage: Eukaryota; Fungi; Basidiomycota; Agaricomycetes; Agaricales; Cortinariaceae
Description: eukaryotic LSU rRNA
Rfam family: 5.8S ribosomal RNA (bases 307-460)
Source: RNAcentral
CUUGGUCAUUUAGAGGAAGUAAAAGUCGUAACAAGGUUUCCGUAGGUGAACCUGCGGAAGGAUCAUUAUUGAAUGAACUUGGUGUGGUUGUCGCUGGCCCUCUUGGGGGCAUGUGCACACCUACCAUCCUCAUCUCUCCACCUGUGCACCUCUUGUAGAUUUGGAAUUGAUUAUCCGAGGCAACUCGGUCGUGAGGACUGCUAGCACUUAGCUGGCUUUCUUUGCAAUUCCAGGUCUAUGUUUUUCAUAUACCCCAUUGUAUGUAACAGAAUGUAUCAUUGGGCCUUGUGCCUAUAAACCUUAUACAACUUUCAGCAACGGAUCUCUUGGCUCUCGCAUCGAUGAAGAACGCAGCGAAAUGCGAUAAGUAAUGUGAAUUGCAGAAUUCAGUGAAUCAUCGAAUCUUUGAACGCACCUUGCGCUCCUUGGUAUUCCGAGGAGCAUGCCUGUUUGAGUGUCAUUAAAUUCUCAACCAUUAUCAACUUUUGCUGAUAAUGGCUUGGAUGUGGGGGUCUAUUUUGCUGGCUUCUCAGAUAGUCAGCUCCCCUUAAAUGCAUUAGCCGGUGCCCCGCGUGGACUGUCUAUUGGUGUGAUAAUUAUCUACGCUAUAGACAUCUGCAAUCAUAUGGGUUUGCGCUGCUUCUAACAGUCUGUUGAUUCAGACAAUACAUGACAAUUUGACCUCAAAUCAGGUAGGACUACCCGCUGAACUUAAGCAUAUCAAUAAGCGGGAGGA